UUUUGCUUGAAUUUUUCUUAUCUUGCCAUAAAAUAUGAGUUUUACUUCACAACUUCAGUGUCACUAAGUUAUCAUGAUAUAAGAUAGUAAGCAUCCCAUUAAUUGCCAUUUUUGUGACAAAAUACAGUUUUAUCUACUAGAAUAAUUUACUUUUUAAAAAGCCUUAAUUAUUUUUGACAAAGAUGGAAGUAACUUGAGAUUGGCUUUUUCUGCAAAAAUUUUAGUAGGAGUUCCCAUCAUGGCACAGUGGAAAUGAAUCCGACUAGGAACCAUGAGGUUUUGGGUUCGAUUCCUGGCCUUGCUCAGUGGGUUAAGGAUCCUGCAUUGUGGUGAGCUGUGGUAUAGGUUGCAGACGUGGCUCGGAUCUGGCAUUCCUGUGGCUAUGGAAUAGGCCGGAGGUUACAGCUCCAAUUCGAAAUUCGACCCCUAGACUGGGAACCUCCAUAUGCUGCAGGUACGGCUCUCAAAAGACAAAAAAAAAAAAAAAUUAUCGAUAAAGAUAUAAUACAGAAGAAUUUGAUUGCUUGGUCUUGUAGUAAACUAAAAAGCAAAAGGAAUAAAAUUAUUUAUUUUCCUUGGGAAUCUAUGAUGAUUAAAAAAUUGAGCUAGAACUAAAUAAUUACUAUAAUUCAUUUUGACAGACAAAAUUCUAUUAUUUUCAAAGCUGCAUAAAUAUAUUCACAAUUUCUUCUCUAUCUAGUUUGCUUUUGUUUCCCUGCUCUUUGGAGAGGCAUAGAAUGGCUUCCUGAGGUCAGAUGCCAACAGUGCUUCUGCCAAGAUUUGCUGAGGAAGUUAAGCCAGUUUUAACACCACUCUUAUACUGUGGGUGACUGGUAUUAAUUUUCUGUUUUUCUACAUUAUGUUAAAAUGUGUAUUAAUGCUAAGCUUAGACUUUAGUUUCUGGUGUUUACACAAAUCAUUCUGAGAUGGUAGAGGGGAGCCAUUUAAGGUAACUUAGUUUUAAAAGUUAGAAAACUUUCUUUGCUAUUAUUGGAUGUUAUCACUAGAUAAAUAUUUCCUUGUUAUAUAAAAGGUCAUAUUUAUAAUUUAUGUCAGCAAAGUUUUUAUUGAGUUUAUAUAUUUAAGUAAGAUUACUAUAUAUAUCAUUUCAUAUAUAUAUGUAUAGUAUUAUACAUCAUUUUAUAUACAUUAUAUGUAUAUAUACAUAUAUAUACACACUAGUGAUAAUAUUUAAAAUUCAUCUAAAAUCUACUUGAGCAACUAUCUAAAUAUUUGUUGAGUUACUGAAAAAGUCAUAGGUCUUUUAAACGGAAAUAUUCUUCGAUCUAUUUCCCUGUUAAACUUAAAACAGAUUCUCUCGUGAAAGUUUUUAGUAACUUCGAUUUACCCCAAAUUAAGGCCAGUCACUGGUUUAAAAUUGAUCAGUAAUGGGAAAUCAGUUAUGAAUUAGUUAUAUCCUCAGUGUACAGAGGCCUUACGGAGAUUAAACUGUGUGCUUAUUUCAUGAAUUCUGGGCAUGUAUGGGUUCACUUGCACAUGCUUCAAAUAAAGGUAGGAAGGAACACAUACUGAAAUUCAGAUUCAGACAGAAGAUCGAUAUAGCAACAGUUCUUCACAUGAGAAGAGAAUCCAUCAGCAUGAAAAAUAUGAUCCUGAAUGAGGACCAGAAGCCUUGGGUUCUGCUCCUGGCUCUGUCAUUACCAAUGAACAGAUUUUGAUCAUGUCAACUGCCUCUCAAUCUUAUUAUCUUACCUAUCAAAUGAGAUUUUUGUGAUUUAAUUGAUAGCAGUGUGUAAAAAUACUUGGUAAAUUAUAAAGGGUUAUAAAAAGUGUAUGCUAAUGUUUGUAGAAAUAAUCAUUAAAAAUAUACCCUAAUUCAUUUACUAUGUGGUUUGAUUUACAGACAAUUAUUGCCUAUCUAUUACAUAAAACUAAUUUUGUCUGAGCAAGAUAUCUUUAAUCUUAUGUAGGCAACUAGUCUCAAUUUGGUAGGCUGUCAUUAAAUUAAAUCUAGCCUGGUAACUAUCCACAAAUAUUUUUGUAAAAGUAGUAACAUUUAGUUAAAAGAAAGUUCAAUUAUGAUUUACAAAGAACAAAAAAGGGCACUGGAAUGAAAUCAUGACCUACACCUAAAUAUUAUUAUUUGAAAUUUAAUAGAUCAUACAUUAGCCAUUAUUUUUAUAGUUGAAUGUACAUCAACUAGGAUAGUUUUAUUUUUCUAUUCAGUCAAUACUAAAUUCAAAUGAAUGCAUAACUCACAUACCUUAAUAUGGAUUAUUAUUUAGAAAGUGGGAAUAGCUUGAUGAAAAAAACAUCUAAAACUAUUGAUCUAAAUUCUAGAGAGAUUUUUUUAAUGUAAACUUUAUUCCUCAAAAUUGAUAAAUAAAUACUAGAGGGGGUGUUGUGAUGCUUUUUAUGCUGUUAGCAUUUUAUAGAUUUCUAAUAAAUAAUUAAUACUUGAAGAUUACUGAAGUUGGAAGCAUCUUUUUAAUUAGGUGUUCUAUCAUUCAGAGAAGAUGAACUAUAAACCAUUCCCCAGGGAAUACUUUUUGUUUGAACUAACAUCUAUGUGUGUUAGCAUUGUUUUCUCUCUGUAUUGGAUUUCUUCCCCCUAAGUACAUUACAGCUUCACUUUGUUUUUAAGGAACUUAUAAGGUUUGCCAUCGUUUCAGGGAAUUGGAACAGGCUCUAAUUUCUAAAUUCCCUCAGUAACUUUGUAUGCUUCUAAAUUUCUAUGUAGAUCACAAAUUCUGUACCAUUUUGAACUGAGGAGAUAAUUUGGCUCCACUAUGUAAGCUUUAGAGAUAAUUUGGUUCCACUAUGUAAGCUUUAUUUUUUUUAAAGUCCCCUUGAUUUUGCAAAAUCAACUGAAGAUAUGAUUAGUACUUUUAAAAACCCAAAUGAAAUGAUCGUAUUAUUCAUCCAUGUAAAAUUACUGUUGGUAGUCUCGUUGACCAUGUGUAUUUGGG
RNAcentral lists this long non-coding RNA (2930 nucleotides) under Sus scrofa (pig). RNAcentral's name for it is "lncRNA (ENSSSCG00060011548.1)". The record is from RNAcentral. Lineage: Eukaryota; Metazoa; Chordata; Mammalia; Artiodactyla; Suidae.